This 253-nucleotide ribosomal RNA is filed under the name uncultured bacterium. RNAcentral describes it as "partial 16S ribosomal RNA". It matches the Rfam family "Bacterial small subunit ribosomal RNA", at positions 524 to 776 of the family's 1533-position model. The record is from RNAcentral.
UACGUAGGCAGCAAGCGUUGUUCGGAGUUACUGGGCGUAAAGGGUGUGUAGGCGGUUCUCUAAGUUUGGUGUGAAAUCUCCCGGCUCAACCGGGAGGGUGCGCCGAAAACUGGGGGACUGGAGUGCGGGAGAGGAGAGUGGAAUUCCUGGUGUAGCGGUGAAAUGCGUAGAUAUCAGGAGGAACACCGGCGGUGUAGACGGCUCUCUGGACCGUAACUGACGCUGAGACACGAAAGCGUGGGGAGCAAACAGG